CCUACGGGUGGCAGCAGUGAGGAAUAUUGGUCAAUGGACGGAAGUCUGAACCAGCCAUGCCGCGUGCAGGAAGACGGUUUUCGGAUUGUAAACCUCUGUCAGUGGGGACGAUAAUGACGGUACCCACGGAGGAAGCCACGGCUAACUACGUGCCAGCAGCCGCGGUAAUACGUAGGUGGCAAGCGUUGUCCGGAAUUACUGGGUGUAAAGGGAGCGUAGGCGGGAUGUCAAGUCAGAAGUGAAAAUUAUGGGCUCAACUCAUAACCUGCUUUUGAAACUGAUAUUCUUGAGUGAAGUAGAGGCAAGCGGAAUUCCUAGUGUAGCGGUGAAAUGCGUAGAUAUUAGGAGGAACACCAGUGGCGAAGGCGGCUUGCUGGGCUUUUACUGACGCUGAGGCUCGAAAGCGUGGGGAGCAAACAGGAUUAGAUACCCGAGUAGUC
RNAcentral lists this ribosomal RNA (440 nucleotides) under uncultured bacterium. RNAcentral describes it as "partial 16S ribosomal RNA". It matches the Rfam family "Bacterial small subunit ribosomal RNA", at positions 338 to 795 of the family's 1533-position model. The record is from RNAcentral.